Molecule: transfer RNA, 69 nt
Filed under: Marmota monax (woodchuck)
Lineage: Eukaryota; Metazoa; Chordata; Mammalia; Rodentia; Sciuridae
Description: tRNA.Ala
Source: RNAcentral
GGGCUGGGCUCGGUGGUAGAGUGCUUGCCUAGCUUGCAUGAGGCCCUGGGUUCGAUCCCCAGCACCACA